UACAGAGGGUGCGAGCGUUAAUCGGAAUUACUGGGCGUAAAGCGCACGUAAGUGGCGACGUAAGUCGGGUGUGAAAGCCCCGGGCUCAACCUGGGAAUUGCAUUCGAGACUGAAUAGCUAGGGUACGGUAGAGGGAAGCGGAAUUUCCGGUGUAGCGGUGAAAUGCGUAGAUAUCGGAAGGAACAUCAGUGGCGAAAGCGGCUUCCUGGACCAGUACCGACGUUCAGGCACGAAAGCGUGGGGAGCAAACAGG
This 253-nucleotide ribosomal RNA is filed under the name uncultured bacterium. RNAcentral describes it as "partial 16S ribosomal RNA". It matches the Rfam family "Bacterial small subunit ribosomal RNA", at positions 524 to 776 of the family's 1533-position model. The record is from RNAcentral.